Long non-coding RNA from Clupea harengus (Atlantic herring), 334 nucleotides. NCBI's taxonomy places the organism in Eukaryota, Metazoa, Chordata, Actinopteri, Clupeiformes, Clupeidae. The record is from Ensembl.
GAGGAAGAGAUAGAGAGAGGUGAAAAAGAAAAGGAGCGGGACAGGGAAAGGAGUGAGUAUGCCAGAGAGAGAGAGCUAAAGACAUAGAGAGGUAAAGAGAGAGAGAGGUAAAGAGAGAGAGAGGUAAAGAUAGAGAGAGGUAAAGAGAGAGAGAGAGCUAAAGAGAGGGAGAGGUAAAGAGAGAGAUAAAGAGAGGGAGAGGUAAAGAGAGAGCUAAAGGGAGGGAGAGGUAAAGAGAGAGAGAGAGAGAGAUAAAGAGAGAGCUAAAGAGAGGGAGAGGUAAAGAGAGAGCUAAAGAGAGGGAGAGGUAAAGAGAGAGAUAGGUAAAGAGAGG